GCCACUGGAAUUCUAUCGACAAACAGAAGAAUAUAACUAAAAUACUUAGAGAUGCUACAGUAUGUCUAGUUCAGGAGGUGCAGUUUAUGUAGUGACGGCACACAGGAUAGUGGGUAUUGCUUUCCAACACGGCCCUCUAAACACAGCCUGAAGCAAUGAACAAACCUAAGUAGGAAAUUACUGCAAAUUAUACUCAAUAAUGUGGGUAUGUGCAUGAACCAUCACACAAGAGAGCCCCGACUUGCUGCACAAAUGUCUCAGCACAUUUGUGAAGCAUGGAGGUACAUUCAUCUCAUUUAUAUAAGUCAGCAUCUAAGUAUUAAGGUUACUACAAGCUUCACUCCUUUGAUCUAUGUGCAUGAGUGCACGUGGGUGGAGGGAGAUUUUUGGAGUAGUGGACACCUUUUGGUGACAUGAUAUCCUCGCCAGUCCCACUCCCAUUCACAAGGGGGCGAUGUCAAAUAAAUAAAUAAUCAUUUCACAUGGAGAUGUGGGAAGCUAAAAAGGCUAGGUAGCUUGCUAUGUUUUUAGCCAGGGUAAAGCCAGCUAGCCAGUUUGCCAGCUAGCUACUGCUAGCAAGGCAAGGCAACUCUUCCUUGUUUUCCCUAAAAACAGGACUUCUUUCUUCAGCAGGUGGCACUUGGACGGGUUCACCUUAAGUCCAUAGCUGUGAAGGCGUUGGAAGACAUCUGCAAGCCGUUAUCUCGUCGACUCUCUCCCCAGGAUGACGACAUCCAGAUAGAUCAGUAGUGUUUCCCAUUGGAGUCCAUGGAGGAUGAGACAUACUUGGGGCAUUGCAAAGGCAGAAUUGCGUACUCGUAGAGCCCAUAUCUAGUGAUUAACACAGUCUUCUCCCGGUCCUUUUCAUCCACUGCUAUCUGCCAGUAGCCGGAUUGAAGAUCUAAUGUGGAAAAUAAGUUGACACUCUCCAAUCUUGGGAAUGUGGUAUGCAUCUUUGGCUGUCAGGCUGUUGAGGCGGUGGUAAUUGACACACCAGCAGACUUCACCAUUCUUCUUACAAACUAAGCGAACAGGGGACGCCCACUCGGAGGAGGAUGGUGUGACAAUACCUGCUUCCAGCAUGGCCUUGAGGUGCUGUCAGGAGAAACACUUUCACAUCCAAGGCUACAGAUGGAGAGACGGAGAAGUUCAUCAUAAGGUGGCUGCUGCUUGCACCAGGCAGAGGCGGAGGCAGAAAGGAGAGGACCGAACACAGCAAGGAAAGGGCGGAUAGACCCCUUUUAUUUAACCAGGGAAAACCACAUUGAGACCCAGGUCUCAUUUGCAAAGGUGCCCUGGGAACAAUACAGAAAAGAAAAUUAUACAC
RNAcentral lists this long non-coding RNA (1327 nucleotides) under Salmo salar (Atlantic salmon). RNAcentral describes it as "lncRNA (ENSSSAG00000116520.1)". The record is from RNAcentral. Lineage: Eukaryota; Metazoa; Chordata; Actinopteri; Salmoniformes; Salmonidae.